AGUACCGAAGUUCCUGAUUCCACACUGCCAAGAAAAGCCUCUAGCGAGAUAAAAGGUGCCCGUACCGCAAACCGACACAGGUAGGCGAGGAGAGAAUCCUAAGGUGAGCGAGAGAACUCUCGUUAAGGAACUCGGCAAAAUGACCCCGUAACUUCGGGAGAAGGGGUGCUCAUUAGGGUGCAUAGCCUUGAUGAGCCGCAGUGAAUAGGCCCAGGCGACUGUUUAGCAAAAACACAGGUCUCUGCGAAGCCGCAAGGCGAAGUAUAGGGGCUGACGCCUGCCCGGUGCUGGAAGGUUAAGAGGAAGGGUUAGCUCACGCGAAGCUCUGAAUCGAAGCCCCAGUAAACGGCGGCCGUAACUAUAACGGUCCUAAGGUAGCGAAAUUCCUUGUCGGGUAAGUUCCGACCCGCACGAAAGGCGUAACGAUCUGGGCACUGUCUCAACGAGAGACUCGGUGAAAUUAUAGUACCUGUGAAGAUGCAGGUUACCCGCGACAGGACGGAAAGACCCCGUGGAGCUUUACUGCAGCCUGAUAUUGAAUUUUGGUACAGCUUGUACAGGAUAGGUAGGAGCCGUGGAAGCCGGAGCGCCAGCUUCGGUGGAGGCGUCGGUGGGAUACUACCCUGGCUGUAUUGAAAUUCUAACCCGCACCCCUUAUCGGGGUGGGAGACAGUGUCAGGUGGGCAGUUUGACUGGGGCGGU
RNAcentral lists this ribosomal RNA (702 nucleotides) under Neobacillus sedimentimangrovi. RNAcentral's name for it is "partial 23S ribosomal RNA". It matches the Rfam family "Bacterial large subunit ribosomal RNA", at positions 1581 to 2283 of the family's 2925-position model. Lineage: Bacteria; Bacillati; Bacillota; Bacilli; Caryophanales; Bacillaceae. The record is from RNAcentral.